GAUGAACGCUGGCGGCGUGCCUAAUACAUGCAAGUCGAGCGAACAGAUGAGGAGCUUGCUCCUCUGACGUUAGCGGCGGACGGGUGAGUAACACGUGGAUAACCUACCUAUAAGACUGGGAUAACUUCGGGAAACCGGAGCUAAUACCGGAUAAUAUAUUGAACCGCAUGGUUCAAUAGUGAAAGACGGUUUUGCUGUCACUUAUAGAUGGAUCCGCGCCGCAUUAGCUAGUUGGUAAGGUAACGGCUUGCCAAGGCAACGAUGCGUAGCCGACCUGAGAGGGUGAUCGGCCACACUGGAACUGAGACACGGUCCAGACUCCUACGGGAGGCAGCAGUAGGGAAUCUUCCGCGAUGGGCGAAAGCCUGACGGAGCAACGCCGCGUGAGUGAUGAAGGUCUUCGGAUCGUAAAACUCUGUUAUUAGGGAAGAACAAAUGUGUAAGUAACUAUGCACGUCUUGACGGUACCUAAUCAGAAAGCCACGGCUAACUACGUG
This 497-nucleotide ribosomal RNA is filed under the name uncultured bacterium. RNAcentral describes it as "partial 16S ribosomal RNA". It matches the Rfam family "Bacterial small subunit ribosomal RNA", at positions 28 to 507 of the family's 1533-position model. The record is from RNAcentral.